UUCCCCUAGCAACAGGCUCAGUCGCAGCGCGAAAGCGUGGCGGGCGCAUGCGCCACAGCUCUCUCCACCAGCAGUCCUUGGACCGCGCGCUUGGGCUCCACCCCAAGCAAGCCAAGCCUUUCUCCUCUCCUCUUCCCACCAAGGAUCCGCGUGGCGGGGCGCGCGCGCACUUGGGCUCGAAGGCAGCUUGUCGUCUGGGCCGCGGCGGCUACUGGCGAGGGGCGGGGCUAUUUCCUUUGGGGCCCCACCCCUUUGGCCCGGCGUGCAUACCGCGCCUGCGCGCUCCCGCCCGGUCUCCAUCUUGGAAUUGGGAGGAAGAGAGAGAGGGAGAGAGAGGGAGGCCGGGACGAGAGCAGGGCUGUGGUGCGGUGAGAAGCUGAGACGAAAAGGAAAGGGAGUGAGGCACAGGGACCAUCAGCAGCGCCUCCGCUACAGUCCUUCAGCUGUUCCGGAGAGAGAGGACGGGAAAGGGAGUAGGCCAGGGCUGGAGUAGGGGCUGUCACUCUCGGACCCCAGCCUUAGAGGGGCCGUGCAGCCGGGCGUCCUCGGGGUGGGCCCCUUGUCGUGGCCGAAGACCUGGGGCUCAGGCCCCUGGGUCCCAAAUUUUGGGGCUUGGUCCCUUGUUUCUCAGAUACCCAGGUAUCAAACCCUCGUAUAUCAGAUAUCUGGGACCCAAAGUCCCAACCUUUACAAACCUGGGUCUCUGUUUUAUAGAAUUUAAAAUACCUGGGAUUCAGGACCCUGUGUGCACCAAUAUCCGGGGUUCAUCCUCCAAGCGAUCAGAUAUCGGACUCAUUUUUAGCCCUUGCAAAUAUACGGGGCUCAGACCCCACAAUCGGAAAUCCGGGAUUCAGCAACUGUCGCCCUCGAGUUGGGGGAGGACUGGACCGCGAGGUCAGAUCAGGUUGUCACCCCCUCCCCUCCAGGGGAGGCUUCCCGGGCCCGCCCCUCAGGAAGGGCGAAAGCUGAGGAAGAGGUGGCGAGGGGGAAGGUCUCCUUGCCCCUCUCCCUGCUUGUCAGAGCAACUGGAGUACCCCAGGCGGAAGCGGAGGCGCUGGGGCACCAUAGUGACCCCUACCAGGCAAGAUCCCAAUCUCAGGGCCCCCUGGGGCCAUCAUGCCAGCUGGGGGCCGGGCCGGGAGCCUGAAGGACCCUGAUGUGGCUGAGCUCUUCUUCAAGGAUGACCCUGAGAAGCUCUUCUCUGACCUCCGGGAGAUCGGCCAUGGCAGCUUUGGAGCAGUGUACUUUGCCCGGGAUGUCCGGAACAGUGAGGUGGUGGCCAUCAAGAAGAUGUCCUAUAGUGGGAAGCAAUCAAAUGAGAAAUGGCAGGAUAUCAUCAAGGAAGUGCGGUUCUUACAGAAGCUACGGCAUCCUAAUACCAUUCAGUACCGGGGCUGUUACCUGAGGGAGCACACAGCUUGGCUGGUGAUGGAGUAUUGCCUGGGCUCAGCUUCUGAUCUUCUAGAAGUGCACAAGAAACCCCUGCAGGAGGUAGAGAUUGCAGCUGUGACCCAUGGGGCUCUUCAGGGCCUGGCAUAUCUACACUCACACAACAUGAUCCAUAGAGAUGUGAAGGCUGGAAACAUCUUGCUGUCAGAACCAGGCUUGGUAAAACUGGGGGACUUUGGCUCUGCGUCAAUCAUGGCACCUGCCAACUCUUUUGUGGGUACUCCAUACUGGAUGGCUCCAGAGGUGAUCCUAGCCAUGGAUGAGGGACAAUAUGAUGGCAAAGUGGAUGUCUGGUCCUUGGGGAUAACCUGUAUUGAGCUAGCGGAGCGGAAGCCACCACUGUUCAACAUGAAUGCAAUGAGUGCCUUAUACCACAUUGCACAGAAUGAAUCUCCUGCUCUCCAGUCAGGACACUGGUCUGAGUACUUCCGGAAUUUUGUUGACUCCUGUCUUCAGAAAAUCCCUCAAGACAGACCAACCUCAGAGGUUCUUUUGAAGCACCGCUUUGUGCUCCGGGAGCGACCGCCCACAGUCAUCAUGGACCUAAUCCAGAGGACCAAGGAUGCUGUACGGGAACUGGAUAACCUGCAGUACCGAAAGAUGAAGAAGAUACUGUUCCAAGAGGCACCCAAUGGCCCUGGUGCUGAGGCCCCAGAGGAAGAGGAGCUCACACCCUGUUCCCAGGAGGCAGAACCUUACACGCACCGUGCAGGGACACUGACCAGUCUAGAGAGCAGCCAUUCAGUGCCCAGCAUGUCCAUCAGCGCCUCCAGCCAGAGCAGCUCAGUCAACAGCCUAGCAGAUGCCUCAGAUAAUGAAGAAGAGGAGGAAGAAGAAGAGGAAGAGGAGGAGGAGGAGGAGGAAGAAGGCCCUGAAUCCAGAGAGAUGGCCAUGAUGCAGGAGGGGGAGCAUACAGUCACUUCCCACAGCUCCAUCAUCCACCGGCUGCCGGGCUCAGACAACCUAUAUGAUGAUCCCUACCAGCCAGAGAUGACCCCAGGUCCACUCCAGCCACCUGCAGCCCCUCCCACCUCCACCUCCUCUUCUGCUCGCCGCAGAGCUUAUUGCCGCAACCGAGACCACUUUGCUACCAUUCGUACUGCCUCCCUGGUCAGCCGUCAGAUCCAGGAGCAUGAGCAGGACUCAGCCCUGCGAGAGCAGCUGAGUGGCUACAAGCGGAUGCGACGUCAGCACCAGAAGCAACUGCUGGCCCUGGAGUCCCGUCUGAGGGGUGAACGUGAGGAGCACAGUGGGCGGUUACAGCGGGAGCUCGAGGCACAGCGGGCUGGCUUUGGGACCGAGGCUGAGAAGCUGGCCCGGAGGCACCAGGCCAUUGGUGAGAAGGAGGCACGGGCUGCUCAGGCGGAGGAGCGGAAGUUCCAGCAGCACAUCCUGGGGCAGCAGAAGAAGGAGCUGGCCGCCCUGCUGGAGGCGCAGAAGCGAACCUACAAGCUGCGGAAGGAGCAGUUGAAAGAGGAGCUCCAGGAGAACCCUAGCACACCCAAACGAGAGAAGGCUGAGUGGCUGUUGAGGCAAAAGGAGCAGUUGCAACAGUGCCAGGCAGAAGAGGAAGCGGGGCUGCUGCGGAGGCAGCGCCAGUACUUUGAACUUCAGUGUCGCCAAUACAAGCGCAAGAUGCUACUGGCUCGGCACAGCCUAGAUCAGGACCUGCUUCGAGAGGACUUGAAUAAGAAACAGACACAGAAGGACUUGGAGUGUGCUCUGCUGUUACGGCAGCAUGAGGCUACCCGAGAGCUGGAGCUAAGACAGCUCCAGGCUGUCCAGCGCACACGUGCUGAACUUACCCGCCUUCAGCACCAGACAGAACUAGGCAACCAGCUGGAGUACAACAAGCGACGGGAGCAAGAAUUACGGCAGAAGCACGCGGCCCAGGUUCGCCAGCAGCCCAAGAGCCUCAAAGUACGUGCAGGCCAGCUACCCAUGGGCCUCCCUGCUACUGGGGCUCUGGGACCACUCAGCACAGGCACCCCUAGUGAAGAGCAGCCUUGCUCAUCUGGCCAGGAGGCAAUCCUGGACCAAAGGAUGCUGGGAGAGGAGGAGGAAGCAGUGCCAGAGAGAAGGAUUCUGGGAAAGGAAGGGACUACCUUGGAGCCAGAGGAGCAGAGGAUUCUGGGGGAAGAAAUGGGAACCUUUAGUUCCAGCCCACAAAAACAUAGGAGUCUGGCUAAUGAGGAAGAUUGGGAUAUAUCUGAGGAGAUGAAGGAGAUUAGAGUCCCAUCACUGGCAUCCCAGGAGAGAAAUAUUAUUGGCCAGGAAGAGGCAGCGGCAUGGAGUCUGUGGGAGAAGGAGGGUGGGAACCUUGUGGAUGUGGAGUUCAAGCUUGGCUGGGUCCAGGGUCCAGUUCUGACUCCAGUCCCGGAGGAGGAAGAGGAGGAGGAAGAAGAGGGAGGGGCUCCAAUUGGAACCCACAGGGACCCUGGAGAUGGCUGUCCUUCCCCAGAUAUCCCCCCAGAGCCACCUCCAUCACAUCUGAGACAGUACCCUACUAGCCAGCUCCCUGGACUCCUGUCUCAUGGCCUCCUGGCUGGCCUAUCCUUUGCAGUGGGGUCCUCCUCUGGCCUCCUGCCCCUACUCCUCCUGCUGCUACUCCCAUUGCUGGCAGCCCAGGGUGGAGGUGGCUUGCAGGCAGCACUGCUGGCCCUUGAGGUAGGGCUAGUGGGCCUGGGGGCCUCCUACCUGUUCCUUUGUACAGCUCUACACCUGCCCCCCGGUCUGUUCUUACUCCUGGCUCAGGGUACUGCACUGUUGGCUGUCCUUAGCCUGAGCUGGCGCAGAGGCCUUAUGGGUGUGCCUCUGGGCCUUGGGGCUGCCUGGCUCCUAGCUUGGCCCAGCCUGGCUUUACCUCUGGCAGCUAUGGCAGCUGGGGGCAAAUGGGUACGGCAACAAGGCCCCCAGAUGCGUCGGGGUAUCUCUCGACUCUGGUUGAGGAUUUUGCUACGCCUGUCACCCAUGGUCUUUCGGGCCCUACAGGGCUGUGGGGCUGUAGGAGACCGGGGGCUGUUUGCCCUGUACCCUAAGACCAAUAAGAAUGGUUUCCGAAGUCGACUACCUGUCCCUUGGCCCCGUCAGGGAAAUCCUCGCACUACUCAACACCCCCUAGCUCAGUUAACAAGAGUUUGGGCUGUGUGCAAGGGCUGGAACUGGCGCCUAGCACGGGCUAGCCACAGAUUAGCUUCUUGCUUGCCCCCCUGGGCUGUUCAUAUACUAGCCAGCUGGGGCCUGCUUAAGGGUGAACGGCCUAGUCGGAUCCCUCGGCUGCUGCCACGCAGCCAACGCCGUCUUGGGCUCUCUGCUUCCCGACAGCUACCACCAGGGACUGUAGCUGGGCGGAGAUCUCAGACUCGCAGGACCCUGCCUCCCUGGAGGUAACCAGUUCCAAUUCUCCACCCAAAUUUAGGGCACUGAGCACUUUAUCUCCCAUGACUCAGUAAAGUUUCUCCAGUCUCCCAGCCUCUCCUCCCCUUCUGACCUUUCUUCCUCAGUAUGUUUUCCCAAGUCCAAUCCCGGCCCCAGAUCUAGGUUUUUAGACAGGCAGCCUCCUCUGCUAUGGAGUCCAGAAAUGACACUCUUUGUGUUUUCCCCAGUCCCCUAAGUUAUUGCUGUCCCCUGCUGUGUGUGCUCAUCCUCACCCUCAUUGGCUCAGGCCUGGGGCCAGGGGUGGCAGGGAUGGAAGUCAUGGGGGUUUUCCCUCUUUGAUUUUGUUUUUCUGUCUCCCUUCCAACCUGUCCCCUUCCCCUCCACCAAAAAAGAAAAAAAAAAAAAAAAGAAAAACACAAAUAAAAUAUCUGAGCGGAACUACACCUUUGGCCCAGGCUGCCUCUGUCUGCUUUGUCCUACCGCCCAGCCUCCCUGGUUUGCCCUGAAUCUGGACCCUGGCCCUCAGCUCCAUGACCGCCUCACCCCACCUCCGUUGUCUUCACUCCUUUCACACCUCAGCCUCAUCCUCUGCCUUCAUAGAUUCAUUGCACCAUGACCACAACCAGCUCUGGGCUGUGAGUCCCUGUGGAGCUUCCACAGAGCUUCCUCAUCUCACAGUUCCACCUGUUUGUGCGACCCUUCCAGCGAGUACUUACUUAGGGUUAAAGGCUUUUGGUCUUUUUGCCCCUUCCUUUACUGUGAACCUAUUGCUUACACGGUUUGGAACUGCGUCUCUCACCUGGGUCAGGCAUUAGUCUACAGGGUUGGGGUUGGAACCACAGAACCUCCAGUCAAGGGUGGUGAGUUGGGACCAGGUAGAAUGUACAAAAACUAGAGGUCUGGGAUUGCUGUGGGCUUGGAGUUGGGUUGAUUAUGUUGGGCUGAGCUGAAGUGUGGAUCUGGUCAGGGGGGCAGCUGCUCCCAGCGGAACUUCUCAGAUCUUUUCUGGCCACUCUCUGCUGCCGUUUCCCUUCAGUGGCCUGACAUGGGGCAUCCUCUUACCCAUUCCUCAGCCCAGUGCUGCUUCCUGCCUGCCUUCCUUCAGGUACUGGGCCUGGGCUUUCCUCUGCCUGCCCUUAGUUGUAUUACCCUUUCGUGGAUGUUGUGUGUGCCUUGGUCUCUCACUCAGCCUUUUAUAUUCUUUUAUAUUCAAUGUGAUCACAUCCUUCUGUCUCAGGGCAAUAUUUUCUCCCUCCCUCUUCGCAUGAUCAGCGUUUCUUUUGUGUACUCAGCCCUCUAAAGAUUCUCAGCUUCCUGUCUGUAAGAUCUUUACGUCUCUUCUUGUGCAUCCAGUGCAACUCUGGAUGUACUCAGAGCCUCUCUCCUUCCUCCACCUCUCUUGCCCAUGGAGACUUUCAUCUCUCAACAGUUCCAUCUUUCCACGUCUGUCUGUGUACAGCUCCCCCCGCCCCCUCUGUCUAACAUGUUUUCUGUUUCUCUCCCUCUCCCUGUCUCUGCUUCUGUCUCUUCCUCCUUUUCUUCCUUCCCCUCGUUGUUCCUCUUCCUCCUCCUCUUCUCCUUCUCCCCUGCCCCGUUUCCCCUUGAUCCGUUCACUGCACAGUCAAAGGAGCUGCAGAUCAAGAAGCAGUUCCAGGAGACGUGUAAGAUCCAGACGCGGCAAUACAAGGCUCUUCGGGCACACUUGCUGGAGACCACACCCAAAGCUCAGCACAAGAGCCUUCUUAAGCGGCUCAAGGAGGAGCAGACCCGCAAGCUGGCGAUCCUGGCUGAGCAGUAUGACCAGUCCAUUUCAGAGAUGCUCAGCUCGCAGGCGGUGAGGCCUGGGCUCUGGGAGGGGACUGUGGAGUUGGCCUUUGCUUUAAACCUUGUUGUGGCAAAGGAAGGUGGGAGAUGUGAACAGAGCUUUUGAACUUAGGAAACUUGGGUGCUCUUUCACUGCUAGCAUUUUCCAUAGUGGUUUUGUCUCCUUAGUGGCCUUAUUAUUUCUCUUACUAUUUUCCUAAUAUCUUAAGAAAGUAAAGUCACCCUGCCUGCUCUGCCAAGAACCACCAAAGAAAAUACUGGCUGUAAUAUAUUUUUGUGGGUCUGAGUUUACUUUGUGUGAACAGGGAGCAGGGGAGCAGGUUACAAUGAGUGUGGCUCUCAGACCAUUUUACUCAGACUUCAGGAAUCUGGAAAGAAUCUCUUAGGAAAACGGUACCAGCACUGGAGUGGCCUGCUUCAAAUGCACCUUGAGUCUAAAGAGCUAGAGGCCCCGCUCUCACUCAGUCCCACCUCUCAGAGGUGCAUUUGUAAUGAUUGCCUUAUGUAGAGUUUCCAGUGCAGAUUUGAAACACAAUAGGAUCAGACUUUACAGUAGUUUUCUGACUUCUUUUCCACCCAGUAUCUCUUGGACAUCAUUCCAGAUCACAUGUCUAUCUCAGUUUUUUACGGUAUAGAGUUUUCCAUGGAAUGGAUGUACCAUAAUUUAUUUAACCCAUCCCUUAUUGGUGGACAUUUAGGUUGUUUCCAGCAUUUUGCUAUCACAACGCUUCCGUGAACACUUGGAGCACAUGUGCAAGUAUACCUGGGGGAUAGAUUCCUGCAAGUGUAAUUGCUGUGCCACAGGGUAUGACCAUCUUCCAUUCUCAUAGAGGUUGAGACUGCCGCUCCUUGCCACCUUAGGGCCCAGGCCUACUGGGGCAGGGGAGGAUGAUGGGGACAGAGGAGGAGGUCCCUAAACCCUGUUCUCCCUGUCCUCCAGCUCCGGCUUGAUGAGACCCAAGAGGCAGAGUUUCAGGCCCUGCGGCAGCAGCUCCAGCAGGAGCUGGAGCUCCUCAACGCUUACCAGAGCAAGAUCAAGAUCCGCACAGAGAGCCAGCAUGAGCGGGAGCUGAGGGAGCUGGAGCAGAGAGUAGCUCUGAGGCGGGCACUGCUAGAGCAACGGGUGGAAGAAGAGCUGCUGGCCCUACAGACAGGCCGUUCGGAACGUAUCCGGAGUUUGCUUGAGCGGCAGGCCCGUGAGAUCGAGGCCUUCGAUGCUGAGAGCAUGAGACUGGGCUUCUCCAGCAUGGCUCUGGGGGGCAUUCCAGCUGAAGCUGCGGCCCAGGGCUAUCCUGCUCCACCCCCCGCCCCUGCCUGGCCCUCCCGUCCAGUUCCCCGUUCAGGGGCCCAUUGGAGCCAUGGCCCUCCUCCACCAGGCAUGCCCCCACCAGCUUGGCGUCAGCCAGCUCUGCUGGCUCCCCCAGGGCCUCCAAACUGGUUAGGGCCCCCAACACAGAGUGGAACACCCCGUGGAGGGGCUCUGCUGCUGCUAAGAAACAGUCCUCAACCCCUAAGGCGGGCAGCGUCAGGGGGCAGCAGUGGUGAGAACGUCGGCCCACCUGCUGCAGUGCCAGGGCCGCUGAGCCGAAGCACCAGUGUUGCUUCCCACAUCCUCAACGGCUCCUCCCACUUCUAUUCCUGAAGUCCAGAGUGGUGGGCAGAGGAGUAGGGCAAGGUGGGAGUGGGUGGUGCCUGAUCCUACAGGCAGUGUGCUUGAAGCCUACACAGUGGUGGUGGGGACAGAUGUUGGCUCCAGCUCCCCCAUCAGACCUCCUCAUCUCAUGAGCUUCUUGGGGCUGGCCAGUGACCCCAGGCCAGCUUGGGCAUUGGUGCCCCAAGGCUGACCAGGAGCCCUGCCUCCCCACCAUGGUGCCAGGGUCUCCCUCCAUCACCACCUAUAAAAGGUGGGAACUGUGAGUGUCAAAUAUUCAUCUGGUCCCCUAGGGGAGGGGAAGGGUGGGUCUAGAUAUAUUAUAUUUCAGAGAAUUAUACAACCCUUGUGAUGGGGCCAUGAACUGGGGACAACAGGGCCCCCAGACCUGGUGGAAUGGCAGAGCAGGUCUGGUGCCAAAGCAAGGAGAAUGGGAGGAGGCCUUCCUCCAGAAGGAUCAGGGGUCUUGCAGUCAGGGUGCCUGAGUCUCACCAUUCUCCUAUUGCUGUCUGACGUCCUGUGCCGUCUUGUCUUUUUUUUUUUUUUUUUUUUUUUUUAAAUUGGGGUCAGGGCUGGGGCGGGGGACAAGGGAAGGACCUUGGAAAGGGCUGCUGCCAAACCUGGGAGCAGUCAUGGGAGCCCCUCUCAGCUAUGGGGCUGGCACAGAGCCCUAGGGCGAGCUUUUAAUAAACUGUUGGUUAUUCUAACAGAC
Molecule: RNA transcript, 9014 nt
Organism: Mus musculus (house mouse)
Lineage: Eukaryota; Metazoa; Chordata; Mammalia; Rodentia; Muridae
Gene: Taok2
Gene name: TAO kinase 2
Exons: 17
Source: RefSeq, marked validated